GCUCUCGUAGCCAAGCGGCAAAGGCAAUCGCCUGCAGAGCGAUCAUUCGUGGGUUCGAGUCCCACCGAGAGCU
This 73-nucleotide transfer RNA is filed under the name Candidatus Pacearchaeota archaeon. Its description in RNAcentral is "tRNA-Cys". It matches the Rfam family "tRNA". From Rfam's summary of the family: Transfer RNA (tRNA) molecules are approximately 80 nucleotides in length. Their secondary structure includes four short double-helical elements and three loops (D, anti-codon, and T loops). Further hydrogen bonds mediate the characteristic L-shaped molecular structure. tRNAs have two regions of fundamental functional importance: the anti-codon, which is responsible for specific mRNA codon recognition, and the 3' end, to which the tRNAs corresponding amino acid is attached (by aminoacyl-tRNA synthetases). tRNAs cope with the degeneracy of the genetic code in two manners: having more than one tRNA (with a specific anti-codon) for a particular amino acid; and 'wobble' base-pairing, i.e. permitting non-standard base-pairing at the 3rd anti-codon position. Lineage: Archaea; Nanobdellati. The record is from RNAcentral. RNAcentral also lists the same sequence under 1 other name.